RNAcentral lists this long non-coding RNA (2817 nucleotides) under Canis lupus familiaris (dog). RNAcentral describes it as "lncRNA (ENSCAFG00845003517.1)". The record is from RNAcentral. Lineage: Eukaryota; Metazoa; Chordata; Mammalia; Carnivora; Canidae.
UUUAUUUAUCUAUUUGAGAGAGAGAGAGAGAGAGAGAGAGAGAAUGCACGUUAGUGAGCAAGCAGGGGAAGGGGAGAGAGAAUCCCAAGCAGACUCCCUGUUGAGCUCAGAGCCCGGCAUAGGGCUCGAUUCCAGGACCCUGAGAUCAUGACCUGAGCCAAAAUCAAGAGUCAGAUGUUUAAUCGACUGAGCCCCCGGGCACCGCUGCACUCACAGGUGUCUCUGCAAACCCAGCCAGGUCAGAAGCCAGAGGAAGACUCUCCUCCCCCAUCUGUUUUUGGGAAGCCACAUCACAGCCCCUUGCCUCUCCAUGGGAAGGAAAUCCAGCCCAGUGUGCUAUCAAGAAAACAGGGCCAGAGAAGUAAAGGAGGCUGGCACCGUGGGCAGUGCCUGCCACAGAGAAAGGCUGGUCCACAGAGCUGGUUUGAAACACAGAAAAAGCCAAGUGCCAGGAAAGCAAAUAAAGACUGGAUCAUAACACUCAUGAUUCCCCAAGAGGACCUCACGGUUCUGUUCCUCAGGCCAAAAGGGCUUUUAAAGAAGAGCAUGACUCCUCUGCAGCUGGCAUUCCGGCUUCUUAACCUGCUCCUGAGGGCAGCCAUCCACCAUCGGGGGGCUCGGCCAGGGGCAAGGAGAGCAGAGAGCUUGCUCACAGCUUCAGAUCAGCAGCUGCUGAGAAACCUCUCUGGCCUCAGCUUCCAAACCUCAAAUAGUCAUGACAUGAUGAUCCCUACCUCCUCUACCUCCCGGAGAUUUUGCAAGGGUCAGAAGAAAAGAUGUUUCUAUGCAAUGAAAGUCACAGUUUUACCAUAUACUGAUACUCAUUUCAUGAUCCAGGAAUAAGGAGACCUGAGCUGUCACCUUUGAUCCUGAGUGUCCACAGCAGGUACUCAACAUAGGCUCCCAGGCUCGUCUGGACUAAUUCAAGUCUGUAUUAUGCUCCACAGGAUGCCUGCCUGUUGGAAAUAAAUUAUCUCAGAAACAAGGCCAUAUUCUUCCCGAGAGGAUUCAGAGCUAACGAGGCUCAGGAUGCCCCAGAAAGGAUGUACUUGACAGCCGAGGAGCAAAGAAAGUACUUCAGUCCUCUGUCGAAAACCCCUGGUCCGGUUUCAGCUGAAAAGUUUGGAAAAGGGAUGUGGGCCUGUCCCCUGGAUGGUGUGGCAAGGAUGCCACUCAGAGGUGGAAAAUACCUCCUUUCCAAGUGAUAAUGACAGUUUCAGAUGAUUCAUGUAAAGAUGCCCAUAGGGGGGCUGUAGGGGGGCUGUAAUCCCAAUGUCUGCUUUUGCAAGAGGCAGGCAAGAAAGAAGAGGCGAUAAGCGAGAGGGUAAUAGAAAGAUCCCCGGGUCCUUGGGCUUGCCUGCCUUCCGUCUUUCCUUCCUUCCUCCUCUCCUUCCCUCCCACCCUCUCUCUCUCCCACCCUUCCUUCCUUCCUGGCUGACUGGGAGCAAUCAGAGGCUGUGAUGCUCAUCACAUGGUUGAAGUACGCAGAGGGCUGGGGGCUCAGGCCACUGUCUCUGUGGCCAUGGACACACUUCUUCACCCCAAGCCCACCUUCUUUAUCCUUCUUUAUCUGACCCAUGGGACAACAGCCCAGUGGCCAGAUGGUAGGGCGGGGCGGGGGGGGGGGGGCAGGUUCAGAGACCUACAGCAGAUGCUCGAUAAGCCCAGUGACUUUCUGAGAAAAGCUGUGAGCAGAUAAGAAAGUUGCCUGCAGGGGCUUCUAACCUCAAAACAUACUGAAGGCUCAGGGCAGAUGGAUAGACGGUUUCUCUUCAGGAAGUCUGAUGAACUCCUUAUUAGGGAGGGAUACAGUUACCAGAUAGAAAACCGAGCAUUAGAACAAUCAUCCCGUUGAGGAAGGCGCUUGCUCAGCCAGGGGCACGUAGGUGGCUCAGUCUGUCAAGCACCUGCCUUCAACUGGGGUCAUGAUCUCAGGGACUAUAACACGGGGCGACAAGUGUCGCCCAAGUUAGAACGCUUGUCGCCAAGUGUUGCCCAGUGGCAGCAAGUCACACCAAACCCCGACUACUCCAACGGGGAGCAAUGCAGGGAAAGGGAGCAGGGCCAUCCACCUGACGCGGUUACCGGGGAGCUGUGUGACCGUGGACCAAUCCCUCACCCUCUCUGAGCCUUACUCUUCUCAUCUGUACGGAGGCUAAUGAGAACACCCUCACUGGGGAGCCGGGAGGGCUUCGUGGGCCGAUGGAUGUAAAGCCCUGCAGCUCGAUGCCUGGUGCAUGGUGUUAAGUGCAGGGCCUGGCACCAGGUGGACAAUAAUUUAAUAAGCUACCAUAUUUCUUAGUGUUACUAGUAGUAGCAGUAGCAGUAGGUGGUGGCGGUCGUGGCGGCUAUGCCUUUAUUUUUACUACUUUACGAUGGUGCGUGCUCUGCCAAGAACGUUUACAAACUCUGCAGUUAGGAGCUCAGUAUGUUCCUUGCAACUCAACGGUCUGUAGCAGGUAAGCCAUGGCGGGAAGGGUCAGGAGGGGACUCACCGCACCCACCAGGUCAGAGGUGCCUGCAAUGGUCCAGGAGAGGAGGGCUGGCCAGGCCACAGCAGUGCCAUGGGAAUGUGUGGACACAUGCUUCUGUGUUAAGAAACACCUGCCACUCCCCCCACCCCCCACCCCGGGACGCCUGGGUGGCUCAGCGGUUGGGCGUCUGCCUUUGGCUCAGACCGUGAUUCCGGGGUCCCGGGAUCGAGUCCCGCAUCGGGCUCCCUGUGAGGAGCCUGCUUCUCCCUCUGCCUGGGUCUCUGCGUCUCUCUCUGUGUCUCUCAUGAAUAAAAAAAUAAAAAUCUUAAAAAAAAAAAAAAAA